AUGCUGAAAAUUAAGAGAGCUGGCGAUGAUCUAACAGAAAGCUCUAAAAAGAACAGGAGAAUCUGCACUGACGGAGCAGAGACACUUGAUCUGUUGACUUCAGGUGACUUACAUCCGGAUGGCAGUUCGGAAGAACCGAUUGAUAGCUUUAGUGAUUCUGGUCAAAGUGUCUGGAGUGAGCUCAGUAAAGAAGUCACCUCAAAAAUUUCUAGAACUGUUGUCUCCCUUGCUUUGUAUGAUGGACAUUCGGUGUUAUUUGCAUGCUCAGGCAUAGCCUUGCAAUGUGGGAUGCAAGCCACAAGGUUCCUGACUUCAGCAAGUUUGAUUAAAGCUUUCAAUGAUAAAAAAAGAGAAGGCCAUGAUAGCUUGAAAAUUGAAGUGCGUCGCAACGGUGAUGUUGCCAGAGGGUUAUUGGGAUACUAUGAUUUGGAUCAGGGGAUUGCUCUUGUCUACAUAGUGUUCGUCACCCUUGGUGUUCAUCCAGUGGGUCUUGAUCAUCAGGUGGAAUUGCUUCCCAGUAUGAAGGUACUAGCUGUCGCGCGUGCCAAUUCUGACACAUUAAUGGCCACAAGUGGGAUAUUACCCGAUGAUUCAAGUGGAUCUGAAGAUGGCAAACAACUUAUGCUUUCCACUUGUAAAAUCUCUGAGGCUUGGGAAGGUGGGCCACUUUUUGAUUAUGACGGGAACCUUUUUGGCAUGAACCUUUCUUUGGUUGCGGAAAGAACUUCCUUCGUGCCAAGGAGUACAAUUGUCAAAUGGUUGGAGAAAUUCAAGCCAAAAAGGGAAGUUGAGAGGUUCAGUUCCCACAAGGAUAUGAAAAUACAGAGGCCAGUGCAGCCCAUACCAUAUUGCACCUAUGCAAGAGACAGAUCUGGUGAUCUAGACUCCUUGGGUUAUCCAAAGCCAUCGAAAACUAUUGUCAGUGAGGGCUUGGUUUUGGUUAAUACCUUCGAAGAGAUUUUUGGUGACAUAUAUGAUUCUGGUAAAGAUAUCUGGAGCCAACUCACAGAAAUGGGUUCUCAUAGUUUACCUCGACGAGUUGUCGCACUCGCUUCAUUCAGCGGAGAAAGGAGGUUUUUCGCAUGCACAGGCUUAUUUAUUGAAUGGAAUGGAUGCACCCCCAUUCUGACUUCAGCGAGUUUGGUUAGGGAUCCUAAAGAUGGAAACAAGAUUGCUGAAAAAUUGAAGAUUGAAGUUUUGCUUCCAAACAAUAAAUACAAAGAAGGGGAACUGCAAUAUUGUAAUUUACACUACAAUGUUGCUCUUGUCGUUGUCAAGGAUUUCUGCUGUCUUCGUCCAGUUAGAAUUCACGAAGAUUGGUGGAAUCCUCUAAUUCUGGAAGAUUCCAAGGUACUAGCUGUGGGGCGCUGCUUCAAAUCUGGCAAGUUAAUGGCUACACAUGGAAGACUAACUGACUGGUCAGGCGUGCUUGACUACAGAGAUCUUAGGUACUCCAGUUGUAAGAUCACUAAGGCUGGGAUUGGUGGGCCUCUGAUUGACUUUAAAGGGAGAUUUGUUGGCAUGAACUUCUAUGAUAAGAAAAUAGGAACCCCGUUCUUGUUCAGGGAUUGUAUUAUUCGAGUGCUGGCACAUUUUAAGGAAAAUGGGACUGUUGAAGUUGGCAGUGGUAAACCAAUCAGGUGGCCGGUGCCCAUACCGUGUUGGCGCCAUCCGGACGAUGAGCUCAAAGAUUCGCUCCCACCUGGCCACGGGGAAAAAUCUGGGAGGUUUGGAUUCACAUAUGUGGAUGGAGACAGGGUUGACAACCAUUAG
RNAcentral lists this ribosomal RNA (1773 nucleotides) under Triticum aestivum (bread wheat). RNAcentral's name for it is "partial small subunit ribosomal RNA". Lineage: Eukaryota; Viridiplantae; Streptophyta; Magnoliopsida; Poales; Poaceae. The record is from RNAcentral.